RNAcentral lists this ribosomal RNA (293 nucleotides) under uncultured bacterium. RNAcentral describes it as "partial 16S ribosomal RNA". It matches the Rfam family "Bacterial small subunit ribosomal RNA", at positions 775 to 1067 of the family's 1533-position model. The record is from RNAcentral.
GGAUUAGAUACCCUGGUAGUCCACGCCGUAAACGAUGUCUACUAGCCGUUGGGGCACUUGAUGCUUUAGUGGCGCAGCUAACGCGAUAAGUAGACCGCCUGGGGAGUACGGUCGCAAGAUUAAAACUCAAAUGAAUUGACGGGGGCCCGCACAAGCGGUGGAGCAUGUGGUUUAAUUCGAUGCAACGCGAAGAACCUUACCAAGACUUGACAUCCUGCGAACUUUCUAGAGAUAGAUUGGUGCCUUCGGGAACGCAGAGACAGGUGCUGCAUGGCUGUCGUCAGCUCGUGCUG